GGUCGUGGCUCAGUGGUAGAGCGCUUGCCUAGCAUGUGUGAGGCCCUGGGUUCAAUUCUCAGCACCA
Molecule: transfer RNA, 67 nt
Filed under: Ictidomys tridecemlineatus (thirteen-lined ground squirrel)
Lineage: Eukaryota; Metazoa; Chordata; Mammalia; Rodentia; Sciuridae
Description: Spermophilus tridecemlineatus (thirteen-lined ground squirrel) tRNA
Rfam family: tRNA
About the family: Transfer RNA (tRNA) molecules are approximately 80 nucleotides in length. Their secondary structure includes four short double-helical elements and three loops (D, anti-codon, and T loops). Further hydrogen bonds mediate the characteristic L-shaped molecular structure. tRNAs have two regions of fundamental functional importance: the anti-codon, which is responsible for specific mRNA codon recognition, and the 3' end, to which the tRNAs corresponding amino acid is attached (by aminoacyl-tRNA synthetases). tRNAs cope with the degeneracy of the genetic code in two manners: having more than one tRNA (with a specific anti-codon) for a particular amino acid; and 'wobble' base-pairing, i.e. permitting non-standard base-pairing at the 3rd anti-codon position.
Source: Rfam by way of RNAcentral